This 440-nucleotide ribosomal RNA is filed under the name uncultured bacterium. RNAcentral's name for it is "partial 16S ribosomal RNA". It matches the Rfam family "Bacterial small subunit ribosomal RNA", at positions 338 to 795 of the family's 1533-position model. The record is from RNAcentral.
CCUACGGGUGGCAGCAGUAGGGAAUAUUGCUCAAUGGGGGAAACCCUGAAGCAGCAACGCCGCGUGGAGGAUGAAGGUUUUCGGAUUGUAAACUCCUUUUGUUAGAGAAGAUAAUGACGGUAUCUAACGAAUAAGCACCGGCUAACUCCGUGCCAGCAGCCGCGGUAAUACGGAGGGUGCCAGCGUUACUCGGAAUCACUGGGCGUAAAGAGCGCGUAGGCGGGAUAGCAAGUCAGAUGUGAAAUCCUAUGGCUUAACCAUAGAACUGCAUUUGAAACUGUUAUUCUAGAGUAUGGGAGAGGUAGGUGGAAUGCGUGGUGUAGGGGUAAAAUGCGUAGAGAUUGAGAGGAAGACUCAUUGCGAAGGCGACCUGCUAGAACAUAACUGACGCUGAUGCGCGAAAGCGUGGGGAGCGAACAGGAUUAGAUACCCUUGUAGUC